GUAUAAUGGGUCAGCGACUUAUAUUCAGUGGCGAGCUUAACCGAAUAGGGGAGGCGUAGCGAAAGCGAGUCUUAAUAGGGCGUUUAGUCGCUGGGUAUAGACCCGAAACCGGGCGAUCUAUCCAUGGGCAGGUUGAAGGUUAGGUAACACUGACUGGAGGACCGAACCGACUACCGUUGAAAAGUUAGCGGAUGACCUGUGGAUCGGAGUGAAAGGCUAAUCAAGCUCGGAGAUAGCUGGUUCUCCUCGAAAGCUAUUUAGGUAGCGCCUCAUGUAUCACUGUAGGGGGUAGAGCACUGUUUCGGCUAGGGGGUCAUCCCGACUUACCAAACCGAUGCAAACUCCGAAUACCUACAAGUGCCGAGCAUGGGAGACACACGGCGGGUGCUAACGUCCGUCGUGAAAAGGGAAACAACCCAGACCGUCAGCUAAGGUCCCAAAGUCAUGGUUAAGUGGGAAACGAUGUGGGAAGGCUUAGACAGCUAGGAGGUUGGCUUAGAAGCAGCCACCCUUUAAAGAAAGCGUAAUAGCUCACUAGUCGAGUCGGCCUGCGCGGAAGAUGUAACGGGGCUCAAACCAUGCACCGAAGCUACGGGUAUCACCUUUUGGUGAUGCGGUAGAGGAGCGUUCUGUAAG
This 636-nucleotide ribosomal RNA is filed under the name Pseudomonas putida. RNAcentral's name for it is "partial 23S ribosomal RNA". It matches the Rfam family "Bacterial large subunit ribosomal RNA", at positions 610 to 1247 of the family's 2925-position model. The record is from RNAcentral. Lineage: Bacteria; Pseudomonadati; Pseudomonadota; Gammaproteobacteria; Pseudomonadales; Pseudomonadaceae.